RNAcentral lists this transfer RNA (71 nucleotides) under Marmota monax (woodchuck). Its description in RNAcentral is "tRNA.Ala". Lineage: Eukaryota; Metazoa; Chordata; Mammalia; Rodentia; Sciuridae. The record is from RNAcentral.
GGGGAUUUAGCUCAGCGGUGGAGUGCUCACCUAGCAUGUGUGAGGCCCUGGGUUCAAUCACCAGUACCACA